ACCACACACCCCGGACCCAGACAGCCCACUCCACUUUCCAGACGCCCACCUCCUACAUACUCCCCUCCCCUAAACAGACAUUCACCCACUCGCCAUCUGUAGCCUCCUUCCAACCCCCCGCCCCGCCUGCCUGGCUCCCCCUUCCCAAGAAGCAGACCUGCACUGUGGGACGCAGGGACCCCCGCCAGAAGCUCGGGUCGUGCGCGCCGCACUGACCUCGGCCCGCCCCGCUGGGAAACUAACAAAGGCGGGCGCGAGCCCCGAGCCCAGGAGCCGCGAGCGGCGGCCUCGGGGCCGAGGAGCCUGGGCCGGGCCGGGCGGGGACUACUCCGGAGUCAGGAGGCAGCAGCGGCGGAGGACGCGGAUCCCUGGCAGUCAGCGCCGCUCGGACGCUGCCGGCACCAUGGGCUGCUGCACCGGACGCUGCUCGCUCAUCUGCCUCUGCGCGCUGCAGUUGGUCUCAGCAUUAGAGAGGCAGAUCUUUGACUUCCUUGGUUUCCAGUGGGCGCCUAUUCUUGGAAAUUUUCUACACAUAAUAGUUGUCAUAUUGGGUUUGUUUGGGACCAUUCAGUACAGACCUCGAUACAUAAUGGUGUAUACAGUGUGGACUGCCCUCUGGGUCACCUGGAAUGUGUUCAUUAUCUGCUUUUAUUUGGAAGUAGGUGGACUCUCAAAGGACACCGAUCUAAUGACAUUCAAUAUCUCUGUACAUCGGUCAUGGUGGAGAGAACAUGGGCCUGGUUGUGUCAGAAAAGUACUGCCUCCCUCAGCCCAUGGCAUGAUGGAUGAUUACACGUACGUCUCUGUCACAGGCUGCAUCGUUGACUUCCAGUACCUGGAGGUCAUCCACAGUGCUGUCCAAAUACUACUCUCUAUAUUUUUCCUAUAGGUUUCUGCUGUGGAGCCGUACUCACUGCAGACCCUGAAGGAGGAGGAAUACCUGCUUUCUCCCUCUCAGUGGUCUCAGCUGCCGUUCUUCUCACAUAUGCAUCAUCCACACACGUCAAGAUGUUUUGCGGCUUUAUGUCAGUAUGAGUAAUCUUGGUCUUACUGUGUAGAUGUUCUAACCCUUGAAGGAACUGUCGAAUGAUUCUCUUCACACAACGUACUG
RNAcentral lists this small RNA (1111 nucleotides) under Pongo abelii (Sumatran orangutan). RNAcentral's name for it is "processed transcript". The record is from RNAcentral. Lineage: Eukaryota; Metazoa; Chordata; Mammalia; Primates; Hominidae.